RNAcentral lists this unclassified non-coding RNA (4050 nucleotides) under Cotesia glomerata. RNAcentral describes it as "cytochrome b5 reductase 4, transcript variant X11". Lineage: Eukaryota; Metazoa; Arthropoda; Insecta; Hymenoptera; Braconidae. The record is from RNAcentral.
GGCUCCAACUUUCUACAGCACCAAUAUCUGUAGCAACAUUUAGUCGUUGAUCUAAAAUUAUCAUAAACUUAAAUACCCAUAGAUUAAAAUUCGGCGGACUCCGUUUAUCAACGGUUCUCAAACAUAUGAACUCUAUUGACAUAAAUCAUAAAUUUCUUAUAUAAUAAAUUAUGACUGGUUUGAUAUACCAAUAAAUCUUUUCCAUAGUGAUUCGAAGUAAAAAAGAAAAAUUUAGCAUAAAGCAUUAAUAUCAUUUGUUUUUAAAUUACAAUGCUGAGAUUUAUAAUUGUUUCAAACUUCAUAUCGUUUAAUAUUAUUUCGCUUCAUCAAAACAGUAUCAUAAGCAAUCAUUAGUAUCAAACUAAUUCAAUACAAAAUUCGGAUGUCACUUAACAAACCUGUUUUAAACAUCAAUUCGAAACAAAUACAGUUGUUACAAUAAUCAUUCGACUUUAAGUCAUAGCGGCAACAAUUUACAGUUGGUACAUUCUCAGAUUGAAAUUACCUAGCGUUUAGGACAAAAAGUGUAUACCCCUGAGGAUAGAUCAUUUUCAAAAAGAAGCCGCUAGGGCGGCACUACGUUCGCUAAUGUCCGGAUCAUGGCGUCCGUUUGUUAUUGCUUAUUAAUAACACCAAAUUGACAUUCAGUUAGUUAAUUAGUUUUUUAAUUAAUAAUCAAAGUGAUAAUAGUUUAAAAUGGUGAAUAAAUGUAUAGUUGAUGGGUGUUUGAGUGACCGGAUAAAAGAUCGUAGUGAAAAAUUAAAAUUGAAUAGUCGAAAUACGUCUUUAUUUAUUGUGCCACAGUGUCCAGACUUGUUAAAAUUGUGGAACCGUGGAUUAAAGCAAGAUUUCACCCCAAAAAAAGAUUAUGUCUGUGAAUUACAUUUUAAUGAUAAAUAUAUUAUUAAAACUGAUAAAAUAUUAUUGACUACUGGAAUUUAUGAAGAAUUACCUCGAAAAAGACACUCGCUAAAGCUUGGUGCUAUUCCGACGUUGAAUCCGAACCGUGUAAACAAAGCUUGCAAUAAUGAAAAUAACGAAGCUCAGUAUAUGCAAUGCCAUUUAUUACUUACUAAUGACCAUAAAACUAAUUCACCGCAAAACCAAGAACCAAUAAUUAGUAAUGAUCUCAUAAACAUAAUUAAUUGUGAGUCACCAGAAUGCAUUGACGAAUUUGAAAAUUUUGAAGAAAAUGACAAUUGUGAGAACGAAAUGCAGGAGUUUUUGAAGGAAUUGGAAGACUGUGAGUUGUGCGAAGGGACUGGAUUUAAUGAGGAAAGAUAUUCAUUGGCGUGUUCUGGUGUGUCAUUGCCUGACGAACAAUAUAAGAAACAGAUGAAUCUUUUUCGAUGCUUUGCUUGUCGGCAAUUGAGACGGAAAUUGCAAAAUCGAUCGUACAAAGUCAAACCCGACAUUAAAACUAAACAAGUUCAGCUCCUCAAACGUAAAAAUGAAUUACUCAUCAAAAUUAUAGAAACGCAGCGACUUAAUUGUAUGGCAAUUAAAGAUGAAGCUCUAAGAGCGGAAAUUUCUAUUUUGCCUCCCGUGCAACAACUAGCAAUUCGUGCUUGUUUUAAUGCAGUAAAAGCUAAAAAUGCCAAACAACGAAGAUAUACGGUUGAGUGGGUUUAUGAAUGUUUGCUACUUCGUAUAAAAAGUGCUGCGGUAUAUGAACGACUCAGACAACGUCAAAUUCUCCCUCUUCCCUGUAAAGACACCCUUAACAAAUAUAUUCAGAAGUUGGAUAGCGUUUUUGGUUUCCCUAAAGCCAUAUUCGACACUCUUCGUAUUAAAAGUUCACGUAUGGAACCACAUGAAAAACGGGGUGCCCUUUUAAUAGAUGAAGUAGCUUUAAGUGAAGCCGGGAAGCUAAAUCGGAGGACUAUGCAGCUUGAUGGUUUUGUAGACUUGGGGGCACAUACUCCGGAAAAUUUAAUCAACAGUCGGGCUGAUAGUGCCUUAGUCUUCAUAUACCAACCUUUUCAGGGUGACUGGGUGCAAGUAGUUGGUAGCUUCCUGAGCAGAAAUUCUGUCACGAGUGCCAUUCUUAACAAAUUACUCAUUGAAUGCAUCGUAUUACUGGAGAAUGCUGGGUUUUAUGUUGAUGUCAUUACUUCUGAUGCAGCUCAAUAGAACAGAGGAGCAUGGAUGGACACUUUUCGGUGUCAAAGAUGGACAAUGUAGCUGUGAUCAUCCAUGCAAUUUUGACCGCAGGCUUUGGUUUAUUUCGGGUUUUCCACACUUAAUAAAAUGUUUCAGGAACAAAAUCAUGGAACGAUUGUUUUUUUUGGAUAAGCUUCUCUUAUAAUAUGAUUUUUAACACCAGUGUACUGUUAUUCACGAUUGAAUUUUCAAUUUAGUUAGCGUUGGAAUAAACAUAUUCAUAAACUCCAGAUGGUUUUGUAAGAAAAAGUCAUUGGGAAGCUUUAUUAUUGCAUGAAACUUAUUUGAAAGCCAAUCUAAAAAUAGCUUAUCAACUAACUCCCCAGCAUUUAAAUCCAGAAGGAUAUCAAAAGGUGAAUGUCCCGUUGGCUUAUCAGCUUUUUUUCGAAAAAUAUACAAGUUGCAAUGGCGACUUAUAAGAACGCUACUCCUGAGCUCAGCGAUUACGAUCCAACAAUGGCUUUUGUUAAAAGAGUAAAUGAUUUAAUUGAAGCCAUGAGUUCACGUACUCCUUUGAAUGCUUUACGUUUAAAUGAUGAUUGUCCCCGAAAAAAGGUAAUAAGUGAUUUUAUUGAUUAUCUGAAGAUUUGGGAAGCCAAAGCUAAUGAAGAAAAAGAACUUUAUAAAAAGAAGAAGAAAGGCAAAAAACAAAAAUCAAAAAAUGAAAAUGAAGUUGAUGAUAAAUUUUUUUUGCAAUUACUCCUAGUACUCUUACUGGAUUAAAAAUUACGUUACAGGCUACUUUAGAGCUAGGUGAAUUUUUGCAAAAAGAAUGUAAUUUUGAGUACUUGAUGACAUCGCGGCUUAAUCAAAAUCAAUUAGAAUUAAUUUCCAGAAGUUCUUCGGUAUAAUGCGGAGUGUUUGUCGUUGCAACGAUCAUCCGGAUACAAUCCUUUUCAGGCAAGUUUUUCGAUUAUUGUGUUCAUAUUCGCUAGUCACGCCGCCGAAAGGGUCCAAUGUAACAGCUGGUGAAUUACUACAAUCUUUAAUGCAGUCCAAAGAUUCUCUGGCUGCAGCUAAUGCAUUAAAAAAAAAUUGGCUGAAUGAAAUUGACGCUAUUGUUGAAAAUGGUAUUUCUAGUAAUAAUUAUUCGUCUAGUGAUGAUAAUAAUAAUACAUUUUCUCAUCCAAAUACCUCUGUGGCUAAAAAACCCUUUGAAAACUUGUUAGACGAAGAUAGUGAUGACGACAAUGAUGAUACUAUGCCGUCAUUUAUUAGAAAACCAUUCGAAAGUUUAUUAGACGAAGAUAGUGAGGAUGAUAUAGAGAACGAUGAUAAUUUGUAUCACGAUAAUCAUUAUCCGUUCGAAAAUUUAACUGAGAUUGACGAUUCUUCUACUGAAAACAACAUUAAUAAUCAUAAUCAAGAUAAAAUUAAUAUUGAUUCAAAUGAAAACUUUUUACAAAGUGAAAAUGAUUGGGAAGGAAGUAAUAGUUUUCGUGAUGACCAGCAUUACCAUCAUGAUUAUGAUGUUGUUUCCACCAGUGAUGGUAUAGUUGCUUAUAUUGCUGGAUAUGUUGCGAGAAAAUUUCAGCGAAUGACUUCCUGCUGUGAAUGUAUUGAAACAUUACGCUCUACGAAUUCCUCUGAACGUGAUCGGGUCAUAGAAUUAAUGAGCAACAGUGGAUUAAUUUUUCCCAGUGAAAAUUUAUUCAGACUGAUUAAAAAAUUGGAACAAGUAGUUUUAACCGUAGUUGGUACUAAAACCGUUAAAAUUAAUACUAUGCACCAAGUGCUAGAGAAAAUAGCAAAAGCUAAAUGCCUCCCAAUCCUAGGAUGUGAUGAACACAAAAAGAAGCUUAUAUUCUAGUUGAUUUUUGAAAAUUAAUAAUUUUUAGUUCUGUAAAAAGUAGAAUAUUAAGACAAUAAAUACUCUAUAAUGUAUUA